Molecule: ribosomal RNA, 435 nt
Filed under: uncultured Enterobacteriaceae bacterium
Lineage: Bacteria; Pseudomonadati; Pseudomonadota; Gammaproteobacteria; Enterobacterales; Enterobacteriaceae
Description: bacterial SSU rRNA
Rfam family: Bacterial small subunit ribosomal RNA
Source: RNAcentral
AACGCGAAGAACCUUACCUACUCUUGACAUCCAGAGAAUUUAGCAGAGAUGCUUUAGUGCCUUCGGGAACUCUGAGACAGGUGCUGCAUGGCUGUCGUCAGCUCGUGUUGUGAAAUGUUGGGUUAAGUCCCGCAACGAGCGCAACCCUUAUCCUUUGUUGCCAGCACGUAAUGGUGGGAACUCAAAGGAGACUGCCGGUGAUAAACCGGAGGAAGGUGGGGAUGACGUCAAGUCAUCAUGGCCCUUACGAGUAGGGCUACACACGUGCUACAAUGGCGCAUACAAAGAGAAGCGACCUCGCGAGAGCAAGCGGACCUCAUAAAGUGCGUCGUAGUCCGGAUUGGAGUCUGCAACUCGACUCCAUGAAGUCGGAAUCGCUAGUAAUCGUAAAUCAGAAUGUUACGGUGAAUACGUUCCCGGGCCUUGUACACACCG